UACGUAGGGUCCGAGCGUUGUCCGGAAUUACUGGGCGUAAAGAGCUCGUAGGUGGUUUGUCGCGUUGUUCGUGAAAACUCACAGCUUAACUGUGGGCGUGCGGGCGAUACGGGCAGACUUGAGUACUGCAGGGGAGACUGGAAUUCCUGGUGUAGCGGUGAAAUGCGCAGAUAUCAGGAGGAACACCGGUGGCGAAGGCGGGUCUCUGGGCAAUAACUGACGCUGAGGAGCGAAAGCGUGGGGAGCGAACAGG
Molecule: ribosomal RNA, 253 nt
Filed under: uncultured bacterium
Lineage: Bacteria
Description: partial 16S ribosomal RNA
Rfam family: Bacterial small subunit ribosomal RNA
Source: RNAcentral